This 466-nucleotide ribosomal RNA is filed under the name uncultured bacterium. Its description in RNAcentral is "partial 16S ribosomal RNA". It matches the Rfam family "Bacterial small subunit ribosomal RNA", at positions 28 to 507 of the family's 1533-position model. The record is from RNAcentral.
GACGAACGCUGGCGGCGCGCCUAACACAUGCAAGUCGAACGAGCGAGAGAGAGCUUGCUUUCUCGAGCGAGUGGCGAACGGGUGAGUAACGCGUGGGGAACCUGCCUCAAAGAGGGGGACAACAGUUGGAAACGACUGCUAAUACCGCAUAAGCCCACGGUGCCGCAUGGCACAGAGGGAAAAGGAGCAAUCCGCUUUGAGAUGGCCUCGCGUCCGAUUAGCUAGUUGGUGAGGUAAUGGCCCACCAAGGCGACGAUCGGUAGCCGGACUGAGAGGUUGAACGGCCACAUUGGGACUGAGACACGGCCCAGACUCCUACGGGAGGCAGCAGUGGGGAAUAUUGCACAAUGGGGGAAACCCUGAUGCAGCGACGCCGCGUGGAGGAAGAAGGUCUUCGGAUUGUAAACUCCUGUUGUUGGGGAAGAUAAUGACGGUACCCAACAAGGAAGUGACGGCUAACUACGUA